This 443-nucleotide ribosomal RNA is filed under the name uncultured bacterium. RNAcentral's name for it is "partial 16S ribosomal RNA". It matches the Rfam family "Bacterial small subunit ribosomal RNA", at positions 338 to 795 of the family's 1533-position model. The record is from RNAcentral.
CCUACGGGUGGCAGCAGUGGGGAAUAUUGGGCAAUGGACGCAAGUCUGACCCAGCAACGCCGCGUGAAGGAAGAAGGCUUUCGGGUUGUAAACUUCUUUUCUCAGGGACGAAGAAAGUGCCGUUCCCUUUGGAUUAAGCCCCGCUUAACUACUGGCAUCCGGCCGCGGUAAUACGGAGGUGGCAAGCGUUAUCCGGAUUUACUGGGUGGAAAGGGAGUGUAGGCGGGGAGGCAAGUCAGAUGUGAAAGCCACGGGCUCAACCUUUGGCUUGCAUUUGAAACUGUGUUCCUUGAGUGCUGGAGAGGCAGACGGAAUUCCUGGUGUAGCGGUGAAAUGCGUAGAUAUAAGGAGGAACACCAGUGGCGAAGGCGGAUUACGGGACCGCAACUGACGGUGAGGCGCGAAAGCGUGGGGAGCAAACAGGAUUAGAUACCCUUGUAGUC